RNAcentral lists this ribosomal RNA (509 nucleotides) under uncultured Desulfobulbus sp. RNAcentral describes it as "bacterial SSU rRNA". It matches the Rfam family "Bacterial small subunit ribosomal RNA", at positions 903 to 1382 of the family's 1533-position model. The record is from RNAcentral. Lineage: Bacteria; Pseudomonadati; Thermodesulfobacteriota; Desulfobulbia; Desulfobulbales; Desulfobulbaceae.
CCUUGCCAGCCCGCUCAAGAACUCAAAGGAAUUGACGGGGGCCCGCACAAGCGGUAGAGUAUGUGGUUUAAUUCGAUGCAACGCGAAGAACCUUACCUGGUCUUGACAUCCCGGAGACCCUUAGGAAACUAGGGGGUGCUUCCAUCUGGAAGAAUCUGGAGACAGGUGCUGCAUGGCUGUCGUCAGCUCGUGUCGUGAGAUGUUGGGUUAAGUCCCGCAACGAGCGCAACCCUUGCCUUUAGUUGCCAGCAGUUCGGCUGGGCACUCUAAAGGGACUGCCGGUGUUAAACCGGAGGAAGGUGGGGAUGACGUCAAGUCCUCAUGGCCUUUAUGACCAGGGCUACACACGUACUACAAUGGCCGAUACAAAGGGCAGCGACACUGCGAGGUGAAGCCAAUCCCGUAAAAUCGGUCUCAGUCCGGAUUGGAGUCUGCAACUCGACUCCAUGAAGUUGGAAUCGCUAGUAAUCGUGGAUCAGCAUGCCACGGUGAAUACGUUCCCGGGCCUU